RNAcentral lists this ribosomal RNA (489 nucleotides) under uncultured bacterium. Its description in RNAcentral is "partial 16S ribosomal RNA". It matches the Rfam family "Bacterial small subunit ribosomal RNA", at positions 28 to 507 of the family's 1533-position model. The record is from RNAcentral.
GACGAACGCUGGCGGCGUGCUUAACACAUGCAAGUCGAACGGAAAGGCCCCCAUCUUGGUGGGGGUGCUCGAGUGGCGAACGGGUGAGUAACACGUGGGUGAUCUGCCCUGUACUUCGGGAUAAGCUUGGGAAACUGGGUCUAAUACCGGAUAGGACCAUGGUUUAGUGUCUCAUGGUGGAAAGAUUAUUGUUUUGGUGCAGGAUGAGCUCGCGGCCUAUCAGCUUGUUGGUGGGGUAAUGGCCUACCAAGGCGUCGACGGGUAGCCGGCCUGAGAGGGUGGACGGCCACAUUGGGACUGAGAUACGGCCCAGACUCCUACGGGAGGCAGCAGUGGGGAAUAGUGCACAAUGGGCGCAAGCCUGAGGCAGCGACGCCGCGUGGGGGAUGACGGCCUUCGGGUUGUAAACUCCUUUCGUUAGGGACGAAGCCGCACUUUUUUUGGGUGUGGUGACGGUACCUUUGUUAAGAAGCACCGGCUAACUACGUG